UUGGGCCUCAUGUUCUUUUAAAGGUGUUUGACCAGAGUGCACUUUCAACUGAAGCUAAAGAAGAAAUGUACAAACUGUAUCCUAAUGCCUGGAGGGCUCACCUGAAAACAGGAGGCAAUUUCCCAUACCUGUGCAGAAGUGCAGAGAUACAUUUGCUGCAAUUCCAUGGAACCAAAUAUGCGGCUAUAGACCCAUCGAUGGUCAGUGCUGAGGAGCUCGAGGUGCAGAAAGGCAACCUUGGCAUCAGUCAGGAGGAGCAGUAGCCGUUAGAGUUGGCUGUUAGUGAUGAGUGAUCCAGGGUGUUCGUACAAUCAGUGACAUCAGUGCCCACCAGUCGGCCUCUCUCUUCGGUUUGUCAGGUUCACCGGUUAUCGCUGUGUUUGGAACUAGGACUGAUUGUCAUCUUCGUGACAGGCGGCAGCUCUUCUAAGCCAGUGUAACUAUUCCCUCUUCAGUAUUUUUUUUAGCUUUUGAACUUAAAGAAGUACUUUUGAAGAUUCCCAUUUUAAGAAUUGUGAAAAUUUUGCUACCAAAGUCUUCACCACUCUGUUGUUAAGUGAAUGUUAAUUUCUGAAUUUGGGGAUUCUGUGGAUUUUUUUCCUUUCCUUUCUUCCUGUUAUUUGCUGUAAAUCCUGCACAUCCACAUAGUGUAUCAGAAGGACAUUGGUUAUUUUUAUGUUUUCUUGGUUACAAUGUAACAGAGUGCCAAGGCUGUCACCCACUGUUUGCUCUCCUGCAAAUGAACUACUUCUAAUUUCCAGUUAAGCAAAUUGUUUUCCGUUUUGGCUGUUGUCUUUCUACGCAUUACAGUCUUUGGAAUAAAAAUUCAAUUUGAGUGAA
Mesoplodon densirostris (Blainville's beaked whale) is the source of this 840-nucleotide long non-coding RNA. RefSeq lists it as uncharacterized. The record is from RefSeq and is a predicted model, not a curated record. Lineage: Eukaryota; Metazoa; Chordata; Mammalia; Artiodactyla; Ziphiidae. The transcript is spliced from 2 exons.